CCUACGGGUGACAGCAGUCGAGAAUCAUUCACAAUGGGGGAAACCCUGAUGGUGCGCCGCCGCGUGGGGGAAUGAAGGUCUUCGGAUUGAAAACCCCUGUCAUGGGGGAGCAAAUUAAAAGGAAAGUACAACAAGAGGAAGAGACGGCUAACCCUGUGCCAGCAGCGGCGGUAAUACAGAGGUCUCAAGCGUUGUUCGGAAUCACUGGGCGUAAAGCGUGCGUAGGCUGUUUCGUAAGUCGUGUGUGAAAGGCGCGGGCUCAACCCGCGGACGGCACAUGAUACUGCGAGACUAGAGUAAUGGAGGGGGAACCGGAAUUCUCGGUGUAGCAGUGAAAUGCGUAGAUAUCGAGAGGAACACUCGUGGCGAAGGCGGGUUCCUGGACAUCAACUGACGCUGAGGCACGAAGGCCAGGGGAGCGAAAGGGAUUAGAUACCCCUGUAGUC
RNAcentral lists this ribosomal RNA (446 nucleotides) under uncultured bacterium. RNAcentral's name for it is "partial 16S ribosomal RNA". It matches the Rfam family "Bacterial small subunit ribosomal RNA", at positions 338 to 795 of the family's 1533-position model. The record is from RNAcentral.